AAAAAAGCCCAAGGUUUCCUACGCAACGUUCAUCGGCGUAGGGUGAGUCGGCCCCUAAGGCGAGGCAGAAAUGCGUAGUCGAUGGGAAACAGGUGAAUAUUCCUGUACCGGUUAUUACCGCGAUGGGGGGACGGAGAAGGUUAGGCCAGCCAGGCGUUGGAUGUCCUGGUUCAAGCGUGUAGUCGUGGUCCCUAGGCAAAUCCGGAGAUCUUAGAUGAGGCGUGAUAACGAGUCUGCUUGCAGACGAAGUGGUUGAUACCCUGCUUCCAGGAAAAGCCUCUAAGCUUCAGGUAAUAACUGACCGUACCGCAAACCGACACAGGUGGGCAGGUUGAAAAUACCAAGGCGCUUGAGAGAACUCAGGAGAAGGAACUCGGCAAAUUGAUACCGUAACUUCGGGAGAAGGUAUGCCCCGGUAGCUUGUAGUCGUACAGACGAAGGGCGAUGGGGCCGCAGAGAAUCGGUGGCUGCGACUGUUUAAUAAAAACACAGCACUCUGCAAACACGAAAGUGGACGUAUAGGGUGUGACGCCUGCCCGGUGCCGGAAGGUUAAUUGAUGGGGUGCAAGCUCUUGAUCGAAGCCCCGGAAAACGGCGGCCGUAACUAUAACGGUCCUAAGGUAGCGAAAUUCCUUGUCGGGUAAGUUCCGACCUGCACGAAUGGCGUAACGAUGGCCACACUGUCUCCUCCUGAGACUCAGCGAAGUUGAAAUGUUUGUGAAGAUGCAAUCUCCCCGCGGCUAGACGGAAAGACCCCAUGAACCUUUACUGUAGCUUUACAUUGGACUUUGACGGGACUUGUGUAGGAUAGGUGGGAGGCUUUGAAGUGCGGACGCCAGUUCGCAUGGAGCCAACCUUGAAAUACCACCCUGGUGUCGUUGAGGUUCUAACCUUGAUCCGUGAAUCCGGAUCGGGGACCGUGUAUGGUGGGCAGUUUGACUGGGGCGGUCUCCUCCCAAAGAGUAACGGAGGAGUACGAAGGUCUUCUAGGUACGGUCGGACAUCGUACUGAUAGUGCAAUGGCAAAAGAAGGCUUGACUGCGAGACCCACAAGUCGAGCAGGUGCGAAAGCAGGUCAUAGUGAUCCGGUGGUUCUGUAUGGAAGGGCCAUCGCUCAACGGAUAAAAGGUACUCUGGGGAUAACAGGCUGAUUCCGCCCAAGAGUUCACAUCGACGGCGGAGUUUGGCACCUCGAUGUCGGCUCAUCACAUCCUGGGGCUGUAGCCGGUCCCAAGGGUAUGGCUGUUCGCCAUUUAAAGUGGUACGUGAGCUGGGUUUAAAACGUCGUGAGACAGUUUGGUCCCUAUCUGCCGUGGGCGUUGGAAGUUUGAGGGGACCUGCUCCUAGUACGAGAGGACCGGAGUGGACAGAUCUCUGGUGUACCGGUUGUCACGCCAGUGGCAUCGCCGGGUAGCUAAAUCUGGAAGAGAUAACCGCUGAAAGCAUCUAAGCGGGAAACUCGCCUCAAGAUUAGACUUCCCUGGGGAUUCGAUCCCCCUGAAGGGUCGUUCAAGACCAGGACGUUGAUAGGUCAGGUGUGGAAGUG
This 1546-nucleotide ribosomal RNA is filed under the name metagenome. Its description in RNAcentral is "bacterial LSU rRNA". It matches the Rfam family "Bacterial large subunit ribosomal RNA", at positions 1339 to 2875 of the family's 2925-position model. The record is from RNAcentral.